AUCAGUAAUGAUGGGUAGGGGAGCUUCCCAUACGGGUUGAAGCAUGACCGUAAGGACAUGUGGACAGUAUGGGAGUGAGAAUGUUGGCAUGAGUAGCGAGAUGUGGGUGAGAAUCCCACAGGCCGUACACCCAAGGUUUCCAGGGGAAGGUUCGUCCGCCCUGGGUUAGUCGGGACCUAAGCUGAGGCCGAAAGGCGUAGGUGAUGGACAACAGGUUGAUAUUCCUGUACUACCGAUAACC
RNAcentral lists this ribosomal RNA (241 nucleotides) under Clostridioides difficile. Its description in RNAcentral is "partial 23S ribosomal RNA". It matches the Rfam family "Bacterial large subunit ribosomal RNA", at positions 1207 to 1455 of the family's 2925-position model. Lineage: Bacteria; Bacillati; Bacillota; Clostridia; Peptostreptococcales; Peptostreptococcaceae. The record is from RNAcentral.